RNAcentral lists this long non-coding RNA (1601 nucleotides) under Capra hircus (goat). RNAcentral's name for it is "lncRNA (ENSCHIG00010025248.1)". Lineage: Eukaryota; Metazoa; Chordata; Mammalia; Artiodactyla; Bovidae. The record is from RNAcentral.
AUUAUUUUUUCCCUUGAGGAAAGGAACGAGAGUGUGAACAGCAGUCUGGAUUUUUCUUGUUCUGUUACCAUAAUUAGAAAAGUCAGAUAAAAUUAUGCAGGAGCAGAUUGAGAGAAAAAUAUCGCUUGGCUUUCAUAUGAAUAGCUAUCUCUUAUAAAUUCAAAGGUUUUUAUCUCCCUGCAAAUAUCUUUCAUCCCUGAGUAGUGUACCUCUUUUAAGUCUGUUUUCAUGUUGAAAGACAAGCACACUCUUUGAAAACGUUCAAGCAUUAAUGGGACGCCUGUGCACCACCACUGCCACCAUUGUUAGGAAUGGUACCUGAUGGACUGGUGUCUUCCCAGCGGAGAGAGGCUAAAGAUCAUCACCCUGUAAUUACACAGUACUGACACAAUCAGGUCAGGAUCGAAAACACUAGACAAAUCAUUUUCCCAAAAACUGAAAAUGCAUCAAUUUCCUUCUCUCACCACUGCCCCCAGUCUUUAGUCUUUUGCUGAGCAUAUAUUCAGGUCCUGGACAACAGCUAGAAAAUUUUUGAUAAAUUCAAAAAGCUUUAGAACAAAGAAGGCAGGCAUUUUACACGUGGGACACUAAGAAGGGUCCACUUCGGAUUUAAAUGGCUGAGUGUGAGAGACCAGACCACAAGCCACUUUGGUUCUUGGCCCUCAUUCUCCACCCACGACACGUCUUCUUUCUCCCAAACCCUCCUUCCAGUAGAUCACACUCAGUUCCUAUUAUUUCCUGUAGGUUUCUACCAACAAGCAUGUCUUUUGUCACAUGGUCCCAUCUCAUCCACCCAAGCCUGAUCUCACUCAGUUCCAUUGGCUCAGAGCAACUCCACCUGUCUCCCCAUUUCUUUGGGGAGAGCUUUUCCAUUUCACUUCCCAUCCCACAAAGCCAAACCAACACCCAUCUAUUUCACAGAAUCCCUGACAGCUCCUCUUCCUUCUUUGCGUUGACAAGUAUGAAUAGCUAAAUUAUACAUAUAGCAUUUAGAUUCUGCUUUGUAUUUGGCCUUUAACCAUUUACAUUUUACGUCAAUUUUUCAACCCAGAUUGUAAGAUCACUGAAGGUAGGGACUUUCUGACUUUGCUUGGAUGGUACUCUGCAGUGUUUAAACAAUUGCUGGGACCCCAUAUAUGUUUCUUUAGUAUUACAGUCCUAGAUAUCUGCUUACUAAAGUGAGUAAGAGAGUUUCAUUGUGCUUUCUGUUGAAAUUAAUUUGAUAGGUGACAAGUGCAAUAAACCGUUUCUCAGUGGAAGUAAAAGAAGAGAGGGGAGGAAUCUGAGGAAGAGAGAUGAAAUUUGGGUAUAACUCUUGGGAUAUAAAAUUAAAAUGCCAUCUGCCUUUGAGAUGGAACAGAUGUGUAAUUGACAUUCAAUGCUCAUUUGCCACUUGAAUUUUGCAGACAUUUAAUACAGUAAUUGUUUGUACAGUAAGAUUUCAAAUACCCUUUGGAGAACAGCUCACUUUUCCUAUAGUGUCCAUAUUCAGUACCAGCAGUACCAGCAGACAGAAAUGGGUUCUUAUAUACCUAGAGCUUUGAAAGUGUAAGUUUAAAAGAUUUGCAUGGUGCCUUUUUGAAGAGAAUAAUAUGAUAAUA